Molecule: long non-coding RNA, 477 nt
Filed under: Cyanistes caeruleus (blue tit)
Lineage: Eukaryota; Metazoa; Chordata; Aves; Passeriformes; Paridae
Description: lncRNA (ENSCCEG00000016993.1)
Source: RNAcentral
CAGACAUAUCUUGUAAUGGAGCUGUGUGAGGAUGGAGAACUUAAAAAAUGCUUUGUGGUAAAGCGCAUUUUACAGAAAAUGAGACAGGACACAUCAUUCAAAGCCUUGCUUCAGCAAUAGGGUGUCUGCACAAAAACUGAUUGUGGUGAGGAAUGAGAUUUCAAGAUUUGAAAUUCUUGUAUGACUCCCUGGAAGAAGUAAGGUAUUGUUCGCAGAGAUCUAAAACUGGAAAACAUUUUAGUUAAAAGCAGUGACAUCAAUGAAGUAAAUGCAGUGAAAUUAAACAUAAAGGUUUUCCAUCCUUUCAGUCAACUCACCACUUCCAUCAGUAGAAACCACCAUGGCCAGCUGCUCUUUUUUCAUGGCCUUGCUUUAUGUACUCAUUUGGAACAGCAACUAGCACCCUCUGUCAUCUCUCCUGCGAGGUCCAAUUUCCAUCCCAAAUAUGUGCUUACCCCAGUGUGUGGGACUGAUUAA